This 1247-nucleotide ribosomal RNA is filed under the name 'Cuscuta sp.' phytoplasma. RNAcentral's name for it is "bacterial SSU rRNA". It matches the Rfam family "Bacterial small subunit ribosomal RNA", at positions 153 to 1401 of the family's 1533-position model. The record is from RNAcentral. Lineage: Bacteria; Bacillati; Mycoplasmatota; Mollicutes; Acholeplasmatales; Acholeplasmataceae.
GAAACGACUGCUAAGACUGGAUAGGAGACAAGAGGGCAUCUUCUUGUUUUUAAAAGACCUAGCAAUAGGUAUGCUUAGGGAGGAGCUUGCGUCACAUUAGUUAGUUGGUGGGGUAAAGGCCUACCAAGACUAUGAUGUGUAGCCGGGCUGAGAGGUUGAACGGCCACAUUGGGACUGAGACACGGCCCAAACUCCUACGGGAGGCAGCAGUAGGGAAUUUUCGGCAAUGGAGGAAACUCUGACCGAGCAACGCCGCGUGAACGAUGAAGUAUUUCGGUACGUAAAGUUCUUUUAUUAGGGAAGAAUAAAUGAUGGAAAAAUCAUUCUGACGGUACCUAAUGAAUAAGCCCCGGCUAACUAUGUGCCAGCAGCCGCGGUAAUACAUAGGGGGCAAGCGUUAUCCGGAAUUAUUGGGCGUAAAGGGUGCGUAGGCGGUUAAAUAAGUUUAUGGUCUAAGUGCAAUGCUCAACAUAGUGAUGCUAUAAAAACUGUUUAGCUAGAGUAAGAUAGAGGCAAGUGGAAUUCCAUGUGUAGUGGUAAAAUGCGUAAAUAUAUGGAGGAACACCAGUAGCGAAGGCGGCUUGCUGGGUCUUUACUGACGCUGAGGCACGAAAGCGUGGGGAGCAAACAGGAUUAGAUACCCUGGUAGUCCACGCCGUAAACGAUGAGUACUAAACGUUGGGUAAAACCAGUGUUGAAGUUAACACAUUAAGUACUCCGCCUGAGUAGUACGUACGCAAGUAUGAAACUUAAAGGAAUUGACGGGACUCCGCACAAGCGGUGGAUCAUGUUGUUUAAUUCGAAGGUACCCGAAAAACCUCACAGGUCUUGACAUGCUUCUGCAAAGCUGUAGAAACACAGUGGAGGUUAUCAGUUGCACAGGUGGUGCAUGGUUGUCGUCAGCUCGUGUCGUGAGAUGUUGGGUUAAGUCCCGCAACGAGCGCAACCCUUAUUGUUAGUUACCAGCACGUAAUGGUGGGGACUUUAGCAAGACUGCCAGUGAUAAAUUGGAGGAAGGUGGGGACGACGUCAAAUCAUCAUGCCCCUUAUGACCUGGGCUACAAACGUGAUACAAUGGCUGUUACAAAGGGUAGCUGAAGCGCAAGUUUUUGGCGAAUCUCAAAAAAACAGUCUCAGUUCGGAUUGAAGUCUGCAACUCGACUUCAUGAAGUUGGAAUCGCUAGUAAUCGCGAAUCAGCAUGUCGCGGUGAAUACGUUCUCGGGGUUUGUACACACCACCCGUCAAA